This 508-nucleotide ribosomal RNA is filed under the name uncultured bacterium. RNAcentral's name for it is "partial 16S ribosomal RNA". It matches the Rfam family "Bacterial small subunit ribosomal RNA", at positions 28 to 523 of the family's 1533-position model. The record is from RNAcentral.
GAUGAACGCUAGCUACAGGCUUAACACAUGCAAGUCGAGGGGAAACGAUAGAGAAAGCUUGCUUUUUCUAGGCGUCGACCGGCGCACGGGUGAGUAACGCGUAUCCAACCUGCCCAUCACUUGGGGAUAACCUUGCGAAAGUAAGACUAAUACCCAAUGACGUCUCUAGAAGACAUCUGAAGGAGAUUAAAGAUUUAUCGGUGAUGGAUGGGGAUGCGUCUGAUUAGCUUGUUGGCGGGGUAACGGCCCACCAAGGCGACGAUCAGUAGGGGUUCUGAGAGGAAGGUCCCCCACAUUGGAACUUAGACACGGUCCAAACUCCUACGGGAGGCAGCAGUGAGGAAUAUUGGUCAAUGGACGAGAGUCUGAACCAGCCAAGUAGCGUGCAGGAUGACGGCCCUAUGGGUUGUAAACUGCUUUUAUAAGGGAAUAAAGUGAGCCACGUGUGGCUUUUUGCAUGUACCUUAUGAAUAAGGACCGGCUAAUUCCGUGCCAGCAGCCGCGGUAA